UACGAAGGGGGCUAGCGUUGCUCGGAAUUACUGGGCGUAAAGCGCACGUAGGCGGCUCUUUAAGUCGGGGGUGAAAUCCUGGAGCUCAACUCCAGAACUGCCUUCGAUACUGUAGAGCUUGAGUUCGGGAGAGGUGAGUGGAACUGCGAGUGUAGAGGUGAAAUUCGUAGAUAUUCGCAAGAACACCAGUGGCGAAGGCGGCUCACUGGCCCGAUACUGACGCUGAGGUGCGAAAGCGUAGGGAGCAAACAGG
RNAcentral lists this ribosomal RNA (253 nucleotides) under uncultured bacterium. RNAcentral describes it as "partial 16S ribosomal RNA". It matches the Rfam family "Bacterial small subunit ribosomal RNA", at positions 524 to 776 of the family's 1533-position model. The record is from RNAcentral.